GACGAACGCUGGCGGCGUGCUUAACACAUGCAAGUCGAACGGAAAGGCCCUGCUUUUGUGGGGUGCUCGAGUGGCGAACGGGUGAGUAACACGUGAGUAACCUGCCCUUGACUUUGGGAUAACUUCAGGAAACUGGGGCUAAUACCGGAUAGGAGCUCCUGCUGCAUGGUGGGGGUUGGAAAGUUUCGGCGGUUGGGGAUGGACUCGCGGCUUAUCAGCUUGUUGGUGGGGUAGUGGCUUACCAAGGCUUUGACGGGUAGCCGGCCUGAGAGGGUGACCGGCCACAUGGGGACUGAGAUACGGCGCAGACUCCUACGGGAGGCAGCAGUGGGGAAUAUUGCACAAUGGGCGGAAGCGUGAUGCAGCAACGCCGCGUGCGGGAUGACGGCCUUCGGGUUGUAAACCGCUGUCGCCUGUGACGAAGCGUGAGUGACGGUAAUGGGUAAAGAAGCACCGGCUAACUACGUG
RNAcentral lists this ribosomal RNA (468 nucleotides) under uncultured bacterium. RNAcentral's name for it is "partial 16S ribosomal RNA". It matches the Rfam family "Bacterial small subunit ribosomal RNA", at positions 28 to 507 of the family's 1533-position model. The record is from RNAcentral.